This 698-nucleotide ribosomal RNA is filed under the name Streptococcus lutetiensis. Its description in RNAcentral is "bacterial SSU rRNA". It matches the Rfam family "Bacterial small subunit ribosomal RNA", at positions 75 to 762 of the family's 1533-position model. Lineage: Bacteria; Bacillati; Bacillota; Bacilli; Lactobacillales; Streptococcaceae. The record is from RNAcentral.
GCUUGCUAAAGUUGGAAGAGUUGCGAACGGGUGAGUAACGCGUAGGUAACCUGCCUACUAGCGGGGGAUAACUAUUGGAAACGAUAGCUAAUACCGCAUAACAGCAUUUAACCCAUGUUAGAUGCUUGAAAGGAGCAAUUGCUUCACUAGUAGAUGGACCUGCGUUGUAUUAGCUAGUUGGUGAGGUAACGGCUCACCAAGGCGACGAUACAUAGCCGACCUGAGAGGGUGAUCGGCCACACUGGGACUGAGACACGGCCCAGACUCCUACGGGAGGCAGCAGUAGGGAAUCUUCGGCAAUGGGGGCAACCCUGACCGAGCAACGCCGCGUGAGUGAAGAAGGUUUUCGGAUCGUAAAGCUCUGUUGUAAGAGAAGAACGUGUGUGAGAGUGGAAAGUUCACACAGUGACGGUAACUUACCAGAAAGGGACGGCUAACUACGUGCCAGCAGCCGCGGUAAUACGUAGGUCCCGAGCGUUGUCCGGAUUUAUUGGGCGUAAAGCGAGCGCAGGCGGUUUAAUAAGUCUGAAGUUAAAGGCAGUGGCUUAACCAUUGUUCGCUUUGGAAACUGUUAGACUUGAGUGCAGAAGGGGAGAGUGGAAUUCCAUGUGUAGCGGUGAAAUGCGUAGAUAUAUGGAGGAACACCGGUGGCGAAAGCGGCUCUCUGGUCUGUAACUGACGCUGAGGCUCGAAAGCGU